Long non-coding RNA from Nerophis ophidion (straightnose pipefish), 498 nucleotides. RefSeq lists it as uncharacterized. The record is from RefSeq and is a predicted model, not a curated record. Lineage: Eukaryota; Metazoa; Chordata; Actinopteri; Syngnathiformes; Syngnathidae. The transcript has 3 exons.
UGACCAGCACCCUGCGCGACCCCAAAAGUGACAAGUGGUACGAAAUGGAUGGAUGGAAUAUGACGUUUAGUGCAGUUUUCAAAUUAACAUCAAAAAGGCAGCUCUGAUCUUGGCUCCUGCAUUGGCUUCUCUGAGAGACACUGGCGUUCACCGCAGCCAUCCGACUUUCAGAUGUCUACAACAAAUCCGUGAAAGAUGUUCCCGGAUUCGGAGAUCGCUCGCCAAUACACAAAUGGCAGAACAAAGGUUACUGAAAUAGUGAAAGGUAAGUGUUGUUGUUGUUUUUUUUACUAACCAGCAAGCACAGUACAAUUAGUAGAACAACUGUGUUUUUAUUACUGUGUAUUUGAUAGGUGCCGUCGGAAAUUCAGCUAUUUCUUUUAUUUAUAUAUAUAAUAAAAUAAAUAUAUAUGGCUAGAAUUCACUGAAAGUCAAGUAUUUCAUAUACAUAUAUAUAUAUAUAUAUAUAUAUAUAUAUGCAUAUAUAUAUACAUAUAU